This 200-nucleotide long non-coding RNA is filed under the name Lathyrus oleraceus (garden pea). RNAcentral's name for it is "Pisum sativum (pea) long non-coding RNA (PSAT_LNC003735)". Lineage: Eukaryota; Viridiplantae; Streptophyta; Magnoliopsida; Fabales; Fabaceae. The record is from RNAcentral.
UCUUGUCAAGAUGCAGUUACUUGCCAAAUCCCUAAUUUUUGCCUAGAUUGCCCCAGUGUGAGGUGCUCAAUCUAGCGGGAUGCGAAUUCUUUUUCAAUGUCUCUAACUUUUGCCUGGAUCGCCCUUUCGGGUUUUCAAUCCACCGAGACGCUCCUUUUUGCCUAAGUUGCCCUUUGGGGUGUUCGACUUAGCGAGCUUUU